Molecule: ribosomal RNA, 437 nt
Filed under: uncultured bacterium
Lineage: Bacteria
Description: bacterial SSU rRNA
Rfam family: Bacterial small subunit ribosomal RNA
Source: RNAcentral
AGAGUUUGAUCCUGGCUCAGAUUGAUCGCUGGCGGCGUGCCUAACACAUGCAAGUCGAGCGGUAACAGGUGUAGCAAUACAUGCUGACGAGCGGCGAACGGGUGAGUAAUGCUUUGGAAUCUUCCCAGUAGUGGGGAAUAACCAGUCGAAAGAUUGGCUAAUACCGCAUACGUCUGUAAAGGGAAAGCGGGGGCUCGUAAGACCUCGCGCUAUUGGAUGAGCCAAAGUCGGAUUAGCUAGUUGGUGGGGUAAUGGCCUACCAAGGCGACAAUCCGUAGCUGGUCUGAGAGGACGACCAGCCACACCGGAACUGAGACACGGUCCGGACUCCUACGGGAGGCAGCAGUGGGGAAUAUUGGACAAUGGGGGAAACCCUGAUCCAGCGACGCCGCGUGUGUGAAGAAGGCCUGCGGGUUGUAAAGCACUUUUAGUGGGGA